This 268-nucleotide long non-coding RNA is filed under the name Salvia miltiorrhiza (redroot sage). RNAcentral's name for it is "long non-coding RNA (SMIL_LNC002930)". Lineage: Eukaryota; Viridiplantae; Streptophyta; Magnoliopsida; Lamiales; Lamiaceae. The record is from RNAcentral.
CUUAAGGUUUUGGUGCAACACCCUGUUGAGCAACUCUUGACGUGAUUUGUCCGGUAGAUGCUAGGGGGAGUGUUUUCAGUGCAAUUUCCUAAUAUCUUUCUCUGUGCUGAAUUGUUUGGUUGGUUGUUGAGUUCUGAUAGCUUUGGGUCUCUGCUCCUCUAAUGGUUUCAUUAUGAGCAUGGGAAACCACACGAGAAUAUUUUGGAUCACCUCCAAAAGUUCAAUCUUGUGAAUUAUGGCCCAUCUAUUAAGAGCGAAAAUAACUUGA